UGGUGGAGUGAUUUGUCUGGUUAAUUCCGUUAACGAACGAGACCUCGACCUGCUAAAUAGUUCGACAAAGGAAUUCUUUCCUUUGGUUUACGCGACUUCUUAGAGGGACUAUCGGUGUGUAGCCGACGGAAGUUCGAGGCAAUAACA
RNAcentral lists this ribosomal RNA (147 nucleotides) under uncultured eukaryote. RNAcentral describes it as "partial 18S ribosomal RNA". It matches the Rfam family "Eukaryotic small subunit ribosomal RNA", at positions 1299 to 1458 of the family's 1831-position model. The record is from RNAcentral.